RNAcentral lists this long non-coding RNA (605 nucleotides) under Sarcophilus harrisii (Tasmanian devil). RNAcentral describes it as "lncRNA (ENSSHAG00000030825.1)". The record is from RNAcentral. Lineage: Eukaryota; Metazoa; Chordata; Mammalia; Dasyuromorphia; Dasyuridae.
CAAAGGGAAAGUGGACAAAAGAUGCUGCAAAAGGGAAAUGGACAAGAAAUGCUGCAAAGGUAGAAUCAACCAGAGAUGCUGCAAAGGUAAAUUGAUCAGAGAUGAUGCAAAGGGGAAAUGGGCAAGAAAUGCUACAAAGAGAAAAUGAACAAAAGAUGCUGCAAAGGGGAAAUAGAAAAGAGAUGCUGCAGAGAUGAAAAGGACAAGAGAUGCUGCAAAGGGGAAAUGGACAAGAGAUGCUUCAGAAGUGAAAUGAACAAGAGAGGCUGCAAAAGUAAAAUUAAUCAGAGAUGUUGCAGAUGGGCUAGAAAUGCUACAAAGGGAAAAUGGACAAAAGAUGCUGUAAAGGGGAAAUGUACAAGAGAUGCUGCAGAGGUGAAAUGGACAAAAGAUGCUGCAAAGAGGAAAUGGACAAGAGAUGCUGCAGAGGUAAAAUGGACAAGAGGUGAAAUCAAGGAGAAAUGUUGAAAAGGUGAAACCCACAGGUGUGGCAGAGGUGAAAUCAACCUGAGAUAUUGUAAAAGUGAAAUGGAUAAGAGUUAUUGCAGAGGUGAAAUCAACAUGAGAUGUUGCAAAGGUGGAAAUGGACAAGAGAUGCUGCAGAG